GCCAAGAUGGCCGAGUGGUUAAGGCGCUACACUCAAGAAUCUAUCUUGCCUGGUUACCUGGGUUUGUAGUAUCGAAAGAUGCUUGGGUUCGAAUCCCAAUCUUGGCA
RNAcentral lists this transfer RNA (107 nucleotides) under Fusarium langsethiae. It matches the Rfam family "tRNA". Rfam says of the family: Transfer RNA (tRNA) molecules are approximately 80 nucleotides in length. Their secondary structure includes four short double-helical elements and three loops (D, anti-codon, and T loops). Lineage: Eukaryota; Fungi; Ascomycota; Sordariomycetes; Hypocreales; Nectriaceae. The record is from Rfam by way of RNAcentral.